ACCAGCGCUCAAGACAGUGCGAUUGGGAAGGCUUUUUGCUUGCAUGGUAUUUUGCUAUGCGUUCCUACUUGCUAUUCAUUGAGCGCAGAAGAAUGUACUGGAUCUUUUAAGAGCUUGUGAACUUAAGCUUUCCUACUUGUACACGAGUGUCAGAGGAUCCAUAUAUG
RNAcentral lists this small nucleolar RNA (167 nucleotides) under Schizosaccharomyces octosporus yFS286. Lineage: Eukaryota; Fungi; Ascomycota; Schizosaccharomycetes; Schizosaccharomycetales; Schizosaccharomycetaceae. The record is from RNAcentral.